GUGCACGCUGGCGGUAGGCCUAACACAUGCAAGUCGAACGGCAGCACAGUAAGAGCUUGCUCUUACGGGUGGCGAGUGGCGGACGGGUGAGGAAUACAUCGGAAUCUACUUUUUCGUGGGGGAUAACGUAGGGAAACUUACGCUAAUACCGCAUACGACCUACGGGUGAAAGCAGGGGAUCUUCGGACCUUGCGCGAUUGAAUGAGCCGAUGUCGGAUUAGCUAGUUGGCGGGGUAAAGGCCCACCAAGGCGACGAUCCGUAGCUGGACUGAGAGGAUGAUCAGCCACACUGGAACUGAGACACGGUCCAGACUCCUACGGGAGGCAGCAGUGGGGAAUAUUGGACAAUGGGCGCAAGCCUGAUCCAGCCAUACCGCGUGGGUGAAGAAGGCCUUCGGGUUGUAAAGCCCUUUUGUUGGGAAAGAAAAGCAGCAGGUUAAUACCCCGCUGUUCUGACGGUACCCAAAGAAUAAGCACCGGCUAACUUCGUG
Molecule: ribosomal RNA, 491 nt
Filed under: uncultured bacterium
Lineage: Bacteria
Description: partial 16S ribosomal RNA
Rfam family: Bacterial small subunit ribosomal RNA
Source: RNAcentral